ACAGUGAACUCCGCAUCGACUCACGCGUUCACCUCCUUCCGGUCUAAAUGUUCUGUUCGGUUCUAUUUUGGUGGGGCCCACGCGUCAUCACAGAGUAUCUGGGAGCCCUGCCCUCUUGCAGAUGGGAAUGAAGGCCCAGGUGCUCUGGAGAGGUGACUCUCCUCUAGUUGUCUCGCUUCUCAGAAAGGAAACACUGGUUCUGUAAACCUGUUUGAGAAGAAAAGCUCGAGGUUUCUUGGCCUCUCUGCUUCUGGAGCCAGGGGAAAAAAUAGCCCCAGGCUGAAGACAGGAGGGACCAGAUUGCUGCUUGGUGAUGCGAUCUCACUGCAGAGGCAGCCAGGAGACCCUCCUGAGACGAAUCGGAGAGUCCAUGCUGCUUUUACACACAUCCUAGUUCUUUUAUAACUAGCCUUUUCCUAUUAACGGACAUCAUUCAAAAGCCAGUUUUAAGCAACAUAAAUAUUGAAAACAAUACUAUACUAUUUAGAAUUAAUUAUAAGUUUUGUUUUUAAAGCCUAAAUCUUUUAUUGUUGUUUGAACCCUGGGCACUGAAGCUAAUAAUGUAACUUUUCUCCCUUCUUUCUUCUUUGGCAUAGAUUUAAAGAACUGUUAGACUCAUUUAAAAUGCUAUUAGGCAUUUUAAAGAGUAAUUGUUAAAUGUGUUGUCUCUUGUGGGACUGGAAAUGUUCUGUUCUUAUCUGGCGCUGGUUACAUCCUGUUUUUCAUUUGGGAAAGUGCAUUGAGCUGGAAAUUUAUAUGUUCAAUUUCUGUAUGUAAAUUGUACUUCAGUAAAAAUUUUCAAAAAA
This 806-nucleotide long non-coding RNA is filed under the name Homo sapiens (human). RNAcentral describes it as "long independently transcribed non-coding RNA 2434, transcript variant 4 (LINC02434)". Lineage: Eukaryota; Metazoa; Chordata; Mammalia; Primates; Hominidae. The record is from RNAcentral.